RNAcentral lists this ribosomal RNA (450 nucleotides) under Triticum aestivum (bread wheat). RNAcentral describes it as "partial small subunit ribosomal RNA". Lineage: Eukaryota; Viridiplantae; Streptophyta; Magnoliopsida; Poales; Poaceae. The record is from RNAcentral.
AUGUUGGAUGCAUGUGCAGCUAAGGGCCUGGGGAUCUUGCUGAUUCAGAGCUACAAAGAUAUCCUGGUGGCUGAGCAUACAAACCCUCUGGGUGUGGUGAUUGUCAGAGAUGGUCAGAUCGAUGAGACAGAACUGACCAAGGCCUUGGGAGAGAUGUUUGAUUGGGGAUGGCAAUGGAGAGUCAAGGAAUUUGGGAAGAAUGGCUUUAUGAUGAGAUUUCCCAACACGGCAAAAUUGGUGGAACUUGCAAAAUUCAAUGACUUUAAUUUGCUGGGGACAGGGGUGGUGAUCAAGGUACAACCUUGGUCUUUUGAUCAUCAAGCAAUUGGGAAAAUGCAUACAGCUUGGAUUAAACUGAACAAAGUGCCUGACUGCUUCAGACACUUCUUUGGAAUAUGUGAGGUGGCUGCUGCAGUGGGGCCGUGCUGGAAAUUGAUAUGGACACCAUAA